AUGAAAUCGAACUACAUAUUCACACACAUUCAGUACUAGCCUACAUUCUAUAAUGAAGUGGAACACUGAUAAAGGUAUAGUUUAUGGUUUUUAUUUAAAACUGUAUUUUUGAUGACUGCUGUUAGUUAAAACGUCCACUAGAUGGCAUUAUAUGAUCUUGCAUUGCACUAAAACCAGGUAUAUGAGCGUUGCAUUUUGGGAAAUGAAGAUGCUAUGAACGCUAAUGGAGAAAACGCUAACGCUAGCGCGACCUCUUUCAAACCAAAGAAAAACUGACGAGUUCCAGACUGCUCUAAUCAGCGAAUUACAUCUGAGUUCUGUGUGAUUCAAGUGUCUGACAGAAUUGAUGUCAAGGAGGAUUCGGCCUGAUUCAAUGAGGGAUUGAGGAGCAAUUUUUUUCAACUUCAGCCAACUGUUGGAGCAUCACCCAAAGCAGAUAAGGUCGUGGAGGAAAAGACGUUAGUUUGACCAAUAAGCUACAUUGUAGCUUAUGACACAAUUGAAGUGGGCGUCAAUUGUUCCUCCAGCUUUUGGCCCAUUUAAAUGGAGGCCAGUAUCCGGACGAGUCCAGGUUACCUGCUGAUAUCGACAAAGAGAAGCACAGGAUAAAUUGCCACUCAGUGACGGUAUGAAUGUGGGUGCCAAUGGUCGUCUGUCUCUUUGUGUACCCUGUGAUUAAUCAUUUCAGCGUGCUGCCCGUCUUCCAUUGCAAGUAUUGGUGGCUCGGUGGUAGAGUUUUCGCACGCUGCGCGGGAACCCCGAGACUGAUGCCCGGGCACGCCGAUGCAUCUUGGGGUAGCCUUUGCAGCUAGCCUCGCAUCGGGGCAACAGUUCCGCUACGACAACGCGAGCAGACCAGGAUAUACGGUGUUGGAAAUGUCCCACACUACAACAAAUCAUUAUUUUAUCCACACUGGUUUGAGUGCAAUAUUGUUGUGGUUGGUUCGUUGUUUAAAAUGUGUAAAAGAAAUAAUGUUUGUUUUGCAUGUGGGAUGAGAAUUCAGUAAAACGGCCUGUGAGGGACUAACUUGUCCCCCCCCUCCACAGUACUUAAGUUACUGAAUAUGUAUAUAAAAAUGGAUCUUAAGCUACUAUACCGAGUGUGGUUUGAUUGUCAAUAUCAGUUUGCAUAUGACUGAUGAAAAAGGUAAAAUUUCAGAUUUGAAGAAGUCCAUUGGAACUGUUUUGAAAUAAUAAAAAAACCCAUCCCACCUUGU
Long non-coding RNA from Corythoichthys intestinalis (scribbled pipefish), 1217 nucleotides. RefSeq lists it as uncharacterized. The record is from RefSeq and is a predicted model, not a curated record. The transcript is spliced from 4 exons. NCBI's taxonomy places the organism in Eukaryota, Metazoa, Chordata, Actinopteri, Syngnathiformes, Syngnathidae.